CCUACGGGAGGCAGCAGUGGGGAAUAUUGGGCAAUGGAGGAAACUCUGACCCAGCAAUGCCGCGUGAAUGAAGAAGGUCUUCGGAUUGUAAAGUUCUUUAGUCAGGGAAGAAUAAAAUGACGGUACCUGAAGAAUAAGCUCCGGCUAACUACGUGCCAGCAGCCGCGGUAAUACGUAGGGGGCAAGCGUUAUCCGGAUUUACUGGGUGUAAAGGGAGCGUAGACGGUUAUGUAAGUCUGGAGUGAAAGCCCGGGGCCCAACCCCGGGACUGCUUUGGAAACUGUGUAACUGGAGUACAGGAGGGGCAGGCGGAAUUCCUGGUGUAGCGGUGAAAUGCGUAGAUAUCAGGAGGAACACCGGCGGCGAAGGCGGCCUGCUGGACUGAAACUGACGUUGAGGCUCGAAAGCGUGGGGAGCAAACAGGAUUAGAUACCACUGUAGUC
Molecule: ribosomal RNA, 443 nt
Filed under: uncultured bacterium
Lineage: Bacteria
Description: partial 16S ribosomal RNA
Rfam family: Bacterial small subunit ribosomal RNA
Source: RNAcentral